RNAcentral lists this transfer RNA (77 nucleotides) under Chloroflexota bacterium. RNAcentral describes it as "tRNA-Trp". It matches the Rfam family "tRNA". Rfam says of the family: Transfer RNA (tRNA) molecules are approximately 80 nucleotides in length. Their secondary structure includes four short double-helical elements and three loops (D, anti-codon, and T loops). Further hydrogen bonds mediate the characteristic L-shaped molecular structure. tRNAs have two regions of fundamental functional importance: the anti-codon, which is responsible for specific mRNA codon recognition, and the 3' end, to which the tRNAs corresponding amino acid is attached (by aminoacyl-tRNA synthetases). tRNAs cope with the degeneracy of the genetic code in two manners: having more than one tRNA (with a specific anti-codon) for a particular amino acid; and 'wobble' base-pairing, i.e. permitting non-standard base-pairing at the 3rd anti-codon position. RNAcentral also lists the same sequence under 2 other names. The record is from RNAcentral. Lineage: Bacteria; Bacillati; Chloroflexota.
AGGAGCGUAGCUCAGUUGGCUAGAGCACUGGUUUCCAAAACCAGGGGUCGGGGGUUCGAGUCCUCCCGCUCCUGCCA